AAGACUAUAAUUUCAGGGAUCAUUUCUAUAGUUUUCUACCUUGAGAAAUGUGUUCUAAGUGUUUGGUCUUGCCAACAUGAUGAUGAGUCGUGAUAUUUCCUCUGAGCAUGAAAGCUGAGCAGAGCAAUAAUUCGUUUCAUAGUUCUCUGUCAUGAUGAUUGUUUCUUUACUCUCUUUGUGGUUCUUGAGGAAGGGAAUAUGAUCAGAGUGGU
Molecule: small nucleolar RNA, 212 nt
Organism: Larimichthys crocea (large yellow croaker)
Lineage: Eukaryota; Metazoa; Chordata; Actinopteri; Sciaenidae
Gene: U3
Rfam family: Small nucleolar RNA U3
About the family: Small nucleolar RNAs (snoRNAs) are involved in the processing and modification of rRNA in the nucleolus. There are two main classes of snoRNAs: the box C/D class, and the box H/ACA class.
Source: Ensembl